RNAcentral lists this ribosomal RNA (464 nucleotides) under uncultured bacterium. RNAcentral describes it as "partial 16S ribosomal RNA". It matches the Rfam family "Bacterial small subunit ribosomal RNA", at positions 339 to 795 of the family's 1533-position model. The record is from RNAcentral.
CUACGGGUGGCUGCAGUGGGGAAUAUUGGACAAUGGGGGCAACCCUGAUCCAGCAAUGCCGCGUGUGUGAAGAAGGCCUGCGGGUUGUAAAGCACUUUCAGCAGCCAAGAAAAGCCUGGGGUUAAUACCCCCGGGUCUUGACGUUAACUGCAGAAGAAGCACCGGCUAACUCUGUGCCAGCAGCCGCGGUAAUACAGAGGGUGCAAGCGUUAAUCGGAAUUACUGGGCGUAAAGCGCGCGUAGGCGGUUUGUUUAGUCGGAUGUGAAAGCCCCGGGCUCAACCUGGGAAGUGCAUUCGAUACUGGCAGGCUAGAGUAUGGUAGAGGGAAGUGGAAUUCCGGGUGUAGCGGUGAAAUGCGUAGAUAUCCGGAGGAACACCAGUGGCGAAGGCGGCUUCCUGGACCAAUACUGACGCUGAGGUGCGAAAGCGUGGGGAGCAAACAGGAUUAGAUACCCUUGUAGUC